Molecule: transfer RNA, 75 nt
Filed under: Streptomyces lavendulae subsp. lavendulae
Lineage: Bacteria; Bacillati; Actinomycetota; Actinomycetes; Kitasatosporales; Streptomycetaceae
Description: tRNA-Pro
Source: RNAcentral
CCGCGCUGGGCGGCGGCGAGGUCGCGCAGCAGGGGGGCGCUGGCCGAGGUGGGUUCGAGGCCCUUGGCGCGGACC